UAGGGAAUCUUCCACAAUGGACGCAAGUCUGAUGGAGCAACGCCGCGUGAGUGAAGAAGGUUUUCGGACCGUAAAGCUCUGUUGUUGGUGAAGAAGGAUAGAGGUAGUAACUGGCCUUUAUUUGACGGUAAUCAACCAGAAAGUCACGGCUAACUACGUGCCAGCAGCCGCGGUAAUACGUAGGUGGCAAGCGUUGCCCGGAUUUAUUGGGCGUAAAGCGAGCGCAGGCGGAAGAAUAAGUCUGAUGUGAAAGCCCUCGGCUUAACCGAGGAAUUGCAUCGGAAACUGUUUUCUUGAGUGCAGAAGAGGAGAGUAGAACUCCAUGUGUAGCGGUGGAAUGCGUAGAUAUAUGGAAGAAUACCAGUGGCGAAGGCGGCUCUCUGGUCUGCAAA
This 392-nucleotide ribosomal RNA is filed under the name uncultured bacterium. RNAcentral's name for it is "partial 16S ribosomal RNA". It matches the Rfam family "Bacterial small subunit ribosomal RNA", at positions 355 to 740 of the family's 1533-position model. The record is from RNAcentral.